Molecule: ribosomal RNA, 441 nt
Filed under: uncultured bacterium
Lineage: Bacteria
Description: partial 16S ribosomal RNA
Rfam family: Bacterial small subunit ribosomal RNA
Source: RNAcentral
CCUACGGGUGGCAGCAGUGGGGGAUCUUGCACAAUGGGGGCAACCCUGAUGCAGCGACGCCGCGUGAGCGAUGGAGUACUUCGGUAUGUAAAACUCUGUCAGCAGAGAAGAGCAUGACGUUACCUGACCAAGAAGCCCCGGCUAAAUACGUGCCAGGAGCCGCGGUAAUACGGCUGGGGCGAGCGUUAUGCGGGUUUAAUGGGGGUAAAGGGAGCGGAGGGGGGAGGGCAAGCCUGGUGUGAAAGCCCGGGGCUCAACCCCGGGACUGCAUUGGGAACUGCCCCGCUGGAGUGCCGGAGGGGCAGGCGGAAUUCCUAGUGUAGCGGUGAAAUGCGUAGAUAUUAGGAGGAACACCAGUGGCGAAGGCGGCCUGCUGGACGGUGUACUGACGCUGAGGCUCGAAAGCGUGGGGAGCAAACAGGAUUAGAUACCCCUGUAGUC